UACGAAGGGGGCUAGCGUUGCUCGGAAUUACUGGGCGUAAAGGGCGCGUAGGCGGCGGCCCAAGUCAGGCGUGAAAUUCCUGGGCUCAACCUGGGGACUGCGCUUGAUACUGGGUUGCUUGAGGAUGGAAGAGGCUCGUGGAAUUCCCAGUGUAGAGGUGAAAUUCGUAGAUAUUGGGAAGAACACCGGUGGCGAAGGCGGCGAGCUGGUCCAUUACUGACGCUGAGGCGCGACAGCGUGGGGAGCAAACAGGAUUAGAUACCCCGGUAGUCC
Molecule: ribosomal RNA, 273 nt
Filed under: uncultured bacterium
Lineage: Bacteria
Description: partial 16S ribosomal RNA
Rfam family: Bacterial small subunit ribosomal RNA
Source: RNAcentral